UAGGGAAUCUUCGGCAAUGGACGAAAGUCUGACCGAGCAACGCCGCGCGAGUGAAGAAGGUUUUCGGAUCGUAAAACUCUGUUGUUAGAGAAGAACAAGGACGUUAGUAACUGAACGUCCCCUGACGGUAUCUAACCAGAAAGCCACGGCUAACUACGUGCCAGCAGCCGCGGUAAUACGUAGGUGGCAAGCGUUGUCCGGAUUUAGUGGGCGUAAAGCGAGCGCAGGCGGUUACUUAAGUCUGAUGUGAAAGCCCCCGGCUCAACCGGGGAGGGUCAUUGGAAACUGUGAGACUUGAGUGCAGAAGAGGAGAGUGGAAUUCCAUGUGUAGCGAUGAAAUGCGUAGAUAGAUGGAGGAACACCAGUAGCGAAGGCAGCUCUCUGGUCUGUAACUGACGCUGAGGCUCGAAAGCGUGGGGAGCAAACAGG
RNAcentral lists this ribosomal RNA (429 nucleotides) under Gemmatimonadota bacterium. RNAcentral describes it as "Gemmatimonadetes bacterium partial 16S ribosomal RNA". It matches the Rfam family "Bacterial small subunit ribosomal RNA", at positions 355 to 776 of the family's 1533-position model. Lineage: Bacteria; Pseudomonadati; Gemmatimonadota. The record is from RNAcentral.